RNAcentral lists this ribosomal RNA (112 nucleotides) under Bacteroidales bacterium. RNAcentral describes it as "partial 16S ribosomal RNA". It matches the Rfam family "Bacterial small subunit ribosomal RNA", at positions 1 to 109 of the family's 1533-position model. The record is from RNAcentral. Lineage: Bacteria; Pseudomonadati; Bacteroidota; Bacteroidia; Bacteroidales.
ACAAUGAAGAGUUUGAUCCUGGCUCAGGAUGAACGCUAGCGGCAGGCUUAACACAUGCAAGUCGAGGGGCAGCACGGGUAGCAAUACUUGGUGGCGACCGGCGCAAGGGUGC